UCGAUGAGGAAGAAAACGUUUUGCAGACUGGGCAAAUUUUCGAAGCCAUUGAUUCUGAUAUAGGUGUACUUGUUGAAGCAAUAUCUUCUACCGAGCUACGACCGGAGUUGCCACCAAAUUUUACUAUCAACUUACACUUCUUGUUUGGUUGCCGUGAGGCGGUCUCAGUCUUGUGCGUCAAAGAAGGUCCUCCACCAGCACCAACUCCGGCUAAGGCUUUCACUGAUGUCUCGGUUUCUGGUACCAAGUUCGACCGGAAGUGCUUAGGCACUGAGUCUAUAUCAGAUUGAGAUACACUAGUUGUUGUGCAUGGGAAAUCAUCUCCUCCAAAUCCACAUGAACUUAUGUCUACUCGAUUUUCUACUAAAUUAACAGUACCAGAGGGAAUAUCAUCCGCUGCUGAUUCUAUCACCCCACCAUUAUCAGCAGACUUGCUGAGCUUGUCCACAAACUUAUGCGACUUUUGCUUCUGAUUAACUACAGUAGGGCCAACCGUACAUCUGCCAAAACUUUGUUUUCUCACAAUACCAAGAGACUGAAACGGUGGCAGCACAUCUUUCACGCCAUGUUUCAAACAAAGUUGCAAGCUUUUCGAAGAGA
Molecule: long non-coding RNA, 600 nt
Filed under: Linum usitatissimum (flax)
Lineage: Eukaryota; Viridiplantae; Streptophyta; Magnoliopsida; Malpighiales; Linaceae
Description: long non-coding RNA (LUSI_LNC001905)
Source: RNAcentral